This is a non-coding RNA of Leptonychotes weddellii (Weddell seal), 777 nucleotides long. NCBI's taxonomy places the organism in Eukaryota, Metazoa, Chordata, Mammalia, Carnivora, Phocidae. The record is from RefSeq and is a predicted model, not a curated record.
AACCGUGAAGGGUCCAAGAUUUUACCUGUCUGCGUGCUAACAGAUAAGAAUGCAAUCGUCUUCUGGAUGCUGGGAGAAGACACUCGACUCCUAGUUUAGAGAUCGAAGACCUGAUUAUACACAGCAGAAGAAAAAGCUGCCGAAGUUUCCGGGUGGCCACAUCAGUUCUCUGUAUUCCAGUUACCACGUGGGCAAUAUAUGUGUGUCAGGAUGCAGUCCUGCCGUGGGUUGCAUUUCAGGAGAGUAACAUGAGGUAGUCUUUGACCACUAGUUUGGUACCAUCUCCAUUUUGGGUGACAUGUUUCAUCAGCAGGCCUGUUACUCUCCGUGACUAACUGUAAUUCAUACAUUGAAGACCUAAGCCCCCAGUGCUGUGAUAUUAGAAGAUGGGGCAUUUGGGAGGAAGUUAUGUUUAGAUGAGCUCAUGAGGAGUGGUAUCCCAUGAUGGGAUUAGUGUCCUUACGAGAAGAGGAAGAGACCAGAGCACUCUCUCUCUCUCUUGCCAUAUGCACGCAAACAAGAGUCUUGCAAGGACACAGUGAGCUGAUGGUGAUCCACAAGCCAGGAAGAGAGCCCAUGGCCCAGAACAGAAUCUUUGGCACCUUGACCUUGGACUUCCCAGCCUCAGAACUGUGUGAAAUAAAUGGUAUUUUCUGUAGCAGCCUGAGCUAAUGCAGCAUCUAUCUUUCCCAAAAGUCAAAAAGAAGUACCUUGAUCAACAAGAUGUGUUUUUAAAUGAAAGACCAAAAUGACUGACAAGGAUUAUUUUAUUUUCAU